AUUCAGGGCGUCCUCCUCUUAAAAAUAGGAGGUGUGACAGAGGUGUCGUGAGGUUAGAAGACAGAGGAGAGAGAGAGGGUAAGAGUCUGAUUUAACACGAGAGAACCUCAAGUAACAUGAUGCUGUGCUGCUUGAUCAUGUUUGCAAGUGAACGAGGCCGGCUAUGACCGCAGGACAUCGCAUCAAUCAGCUGUCGGCUCAACGGGGACAAGAGGAGGAGAGCGCCAGCAGAGUGAUCGAUUUUCUUGAUGCAGAGCUUUGACAGCGUGGGGACUCAAGCUUUUUUCUUAUUUUGAUUGCUUUCUUUAUCUCCUCUUCUUGUGUUUUUGUCACUUAGUUCAAUCUGAGAUUUCAGAAAAGAAGGCAAAGGAAAGAGGUUCAGAAACCGCUCUAACAGAUAAACUUCUGAUGUCUUUUAAAGUCAUACAGGACCGGAGGCAGGAAGCAGUUCGCCUCCUGCUAGCUUGUUUGUCGAUUGUUUUGGUAUGAGGCCAAUAUGCAGGUCCAACAAUAACUCGCAGGAGUAGCAGAGCUGGAUAUACUGGAUAUAUACUGGAGUUGAUGCUUAUUACUUCACCUAAGAUGUGCUUGGAUGCAAAUGUAGAUGACUAAUUCAUCUAAAAUUUGUCAAACAUUUUUACAAAAUACCCGGAUGAGCGCUUGUUUGCGUUGUUAAGCUGUUGGACAAAUUGUUGUGUUUUUGUCACUUAGAUUAGUUGGAGGAGGUUCAGAAACCGCUCUAACAGAUAAACUUAUGAUGUCUUUUACAGCCAUACAGGACCAGAGCAGGAAGCAGUUCGCCUCCUGCUAGCUUGUUUGUCGAUUGUUUUGGUAUGAGGCCAAUAUGCAGGUCCAACAAUAACUAGUUAGGGUAGCAGAGCUGGAUGUACUUGUACUAGGGCUGGGCGAUAAACCAAAAUUUACUGAUACCCAAAUUUACGACAAUAACCAACGUCAUUUUGCCCAUGUCAAUAUAUUUGGUGUCAAAAAAAAUACAUAUAUAAAAGUUGUUUUUGGAUGUGUGUAGGUAGGCUAUGGUCUCAUGUCCCUUUUAAGACUCUGUCCUACAUCAGAGACGUGACUCCACCCCAUCUAGUCCGUAACAAAGAGGGAAAGACAGGUGAGGAAAUGGAGGACGGUUCAAAAGUUGUAGCAGCUGAAGUAGACGAAGUUAAUGUGGGAGGGGGUGAGCAGCUCGUGGAGUAGUUAUCGUCUAUUUAUCGUUAUCGAAGUGAACUGCUCAAUAUAUCAUGAUAUUGAUUUGAGGACAUAUCGCCCAGCCCUAGGCAGGAAGCAGUUCCCCUCCUGCUAGCUUGUUUGUCGAUUGUUUUGGAAUGCGACAUAAAGAGUCAGCUAGAGUAGCGGGGCUGGAUAUACUUGUAUUCAUGGAAACAAUCAGUCAUGGGGUUAUUUUACCUAAUCGAGCAACACAGUACAAACACAGCAGCAGAAAAAACACGAUAAAAAAACAGACUUGGAUGGCAGUAAAGAGAAUAAAUCAGAGAUACUCGCCUCAUCGUGAACAUCACUUUGCCUGCUCGCUGUGAAUAUUCUCAGCUAUUACCUGUCUUUGUGAAACAAAUCAAAACAUCAGCACUCACUACUUUUGUUAUUCCAAUAAGUCAAUUUAUACGACGCGUGGGAAGGCUGCAUCAUCUGUCCUUACUGCUCUAUUUUAUCUCUUUAAGAUGAGCCCAGCAGUGGUUAUUAAACCUUUUUUCUGCAGAUUUAUGCGAGUCUUUUAUAUUCCGGCGCUUUUGUCACGCUUCUUUUAUACCUCCACCUACACCUGUGAGCCUGUAGUCCUAACCUCUCCUCUCCUUCUGCUUUUCUCUGCAGUUUAAGAUCUGAAAUAUCCUUCAUGAGACUGAGUUAUGCAUCCCAGGCAAGAAGACGGCACAGAGAGGAGACAAAAGGGGUUUGGUGUAAAUGGGACACCAGCCGCUACAACUCUGAGGGGAGAUAUUACCCAUAACCACUCCCUAAUCUUUCUCUAUCACUCUCUCAGCAGGAGUUUAUGAUGACUGAGUGAUGAAGGCUUAUUACUUUAUCUGAGAUGUGCUUGGAUGCAAAUGAAGUUGACUAAUUUGUUAGAAAUUUGUUGAACAUUUGUAACAAAAUACCCGGAUAAGCGCUUGUUUGCGCUGUUAAGCUUUUGGACAAAUUGUUGGACAUGUGAAGCCAAACGAAGACAGAGCGGAUACAGCCGAACAGAUCACUUCAGCAGACUUGUUUCAAGAGCCUAAAACCUCUGUGUCUUUCUUCAGCUAUGCAACACACUGUUUGCACAGCUGCUCAGUAAAAUAUCAAUAAAGCUCUGCAGGAAUAUACGACGG
Xyrichtys novacula (pearly razorfish) is the source of this 2336-nucleotide non-coding RNA. The record is from the annotation of a GenBank genome assembly. Lineage: Eukaryota; Metazoa; Chordata; Actinopteri; Labriformes; Labridae.